UGGCCAGUAGUGGAACCCCUCCUCAGACCAGAAAACCAGGAAACUACAGUACAAAGUUGUCUACUUCCCCUCAGCUUGAUAAAGAUCUCUACAAAAAAGGGGCCUUGCAGUUAAGAUGCAUACUAUCUAAAUGCAACAUUCCCGGUUCAUUUCCAGCCAGGGACGCUUAUGUAUGUCAUGGCCAUCUCUCUUUCUGCCAUGCAACACUAUGCCCGUUUUUGUACCAGCCCGCACCCACCAGAUUUCAUGCAACACUUCAUAGUUUUAACCAGUCAUGCAAGUUUUACUAUCUCCAGAAAAUAACUUAAAAAAAAUCAUAUUUGCUUGGUGCUUACAGCUCUCAGGCCUUGUUCACAAAAUAACCGCAGUCUACAGUUACACUGUUACAAACACACAUCCUUUAACAUAAAGGUGAAGCACUAAGUUUUGACACCUCCUCUUCUUUUCUCCCCCACUAAACAUGCUCCAUCACCUCGCUUGUACAAAACAGUCAAUAAAACAAAUGCAAAUAGUAAUGGUAAGUACAGCUUGCAUUAAGCUAACAAUAACGUAUUAGUAGCCAGAGAGUCAGGACAUAAUUCAAAUCAGGCUGUAUCACUCCAGUGAGUUUCCGUGCAUGCCUUUGCCGUAUGUGACCCAUAUUUGUUAUGCAGAAAAGCUAGCAAGCUAACUAGGCUACGUUUUAGCCGGCUAGCUCAGUCAACACCAAAGAACAAAGGGAGGCAGCGUCGCACAGUAAAUAUUUCCCAGUUUGUAAAGUAGCGACGAGGCGUCAUUUAUCUCUUCAAGGCCCGCUGUGAGGAUGGAGAUACCCGGGAGGGCUGCCGUGUCUGUCUCCGGCUCUCUCUGGCUCGGAUAUAAAGGAAGGGAAGGAGACCUCUAGCCAGGAUAACAUGCAAGAAAAGCAUAGAGGAAGCCCCCCCGAAAAGCCAAGCUUGUAGGCAUUAAAAGACGUCGAUAAGCCUUCAUUGGCGGGGCGCAGCGGGCAUCUUCAUCAUCUGUGGGGAAGGCGGAGAAAAAGAAAGAAAGACAGAGAGGCUCACAUCGUUACAAGAUGACCGAGGAAUUAAGGAGGAAGAGAGAGGGGGAGAGAACAAAGGAGAAGUGCCCUGUAAAAAGAAAAAUAUGCCGUCUUCUUUGGGGCAGCAUGUUUGCUUUAGACUUUAGACUGUUUAUGAUAAUGUAUUUAGACACGUGUUAUUAUGUUUUGUGUUCAGAGAAGCUGUCCUAAAGAAGACACAUCAAAUUGCUUAUCCUUGUAUUCUUGAAUGUCAAGGAAGCCCUCCUGCUGUUACUGUUGGGUUGGCUUCAGUGACUGAAAUGCAUGUUAACCAGUGGGCUUAGUCAUUUAUUCUAUUCUGUUCUACUCUAUUCUAUCCUCUCUUGCAUAGCAGGGCAUCAGGGGUUAGACUCUCAGUAGUUUUUAGGUUUUAACACACACUUUAAAUUUGUUGCAUAGGUAGAUCAGGUUUCACAACAGUGACUGAAAUGGUGUUAUUGUUCUAGUCUGUUCUAUUCUUUUGUCUCGUACGUAGUAGGCUUUCAGUGGUUAGACUAUUGUUGAUUCAAACACACAAUUCAGAUUUAUUUAUUUAUUUUUUUGCAGAUUUUCAAGGCAAAGUAAAAUGUAGUUAUUGUGUUAUUGUUUUAGUCUUUGUUGCACAGAGGGCUUUUUAUUAUACUAUCAGUAGUUUUUAGGUUUUAACACACAAGUGUUGCAUAGGUUGAUCAGAUUUUACAACACAGAGUGAAACAGUUAUUUUUCUAUUCAGUUAUAUUCUAUUCUGUUCUCUCCUGGUUUUUCAGUGGCUAGACUACAGUAUGUAGGUUGUUGAUUCAAACAAGCACACAAUUUACAUUUAUUUAUUUGCAGAUAAAAAUCUGAUUUUACAUCGCAGAGUGAAAUGUAGUUAUUGUGCUUUCUAUCCUAUUCUAUUCUUUCUUGCAGAGAAGUUUUUUUUAUAUUAUACUCUCAAUAGUUUUCAGGUUUUAACACACACAUUUGUGUCAUAGAUUGAUCAGAUUUUACAACACAGAGUGAAAUUAAGUUAUUCUUCUAUUCUCUCCUUUUCUCUUCUCCUCACUCUAUUUCUGCAUUCGAAUGCUGCAAUGUUACACCACAUGAACACACUCCUGCCUGGUCACUAUCUUUAGGACUGUCCCAAAGAGACUUGAGUGUAAUUUGACACACUGGCACUCACACAUACACAUUCACACAACCAGUCACUCAUGUGUUCAUGUACACACACACAAACACACAAUCGCAACAGGAUAUCAAGGGUAAUUUUACAACAAAGCUGUCUGGAAUUACAAGUAUUUCCCAUUGCUAGGAACUGAAAGAAGUCAUGUUUAUGUAGGAGAGAGCUUACUUGGAAACCCUUUUCUGAUUGUCUGCAUGACGUAAUAUGAUGUAACAAGUAACAGGGCUUUUACACUUUACAGAAUCUCAAACCCACAUUGUUAUGGACACGUCCAAAAAAGGUUAAAAGGAAACUUUAAACGUGUAAAAUCUCCACAGCAUGUGGGUUUAUGGUUCCAAUUAAAAUCCUAGACUUAGGGCUGUUUGUUCACUGCAGCAUUGUUAGACGCCACAGUAAGCUGUGAAAUGUUACCCACACUGUUCAAGGCAAGAAUAGGCAGUUAAACAGCCAUGGAAAGUGUGACAACCUAAUUUCUGAGAACUGUAGUGACCUCUAGUGACUUUGCUUUAUCCUACAGUAGAAUUAAAUUACAAAUAGUUAUAAUUGUAUAAAAUUGUUUCAUUUCCAUUAAAAAAAGCAUUUUAUCAGCAGAAAGACUUGACUCAAGAGACACUGCAGACAAUAUCUUGUAUAGCUAGGAAAACACAUUUGUGGUCAAAUUAGACUUACAGACUAGCUGAAAACAUCAGAUCCAUCUGUAUGUGUGCAUGCAACCUGUUACAGUAAAUAGUUUCCCUGACUAAACAGAAGUAAAAGGUGUGCACUUUCAGAUUGCAUGGACACUUUUUCAUUGAUUGAUGAUAUAUGAUAUUUGCAGCAACACAAAAGAAUAAAUGUACAGUCUUCUGCUUAUACAUGGUUCAGUCACUAGAUGGAGCUGGAAAGUUUGAAAUGCAGACUGAGGUACCCUGCUGAGACCAAGAUACCUGUGUGUGUGUGUGUGUGUGUGUGUGCUUGUGUAUACUUUUUUGUUCUUACAGUUUUUGGAAGUGAAUGAAACCAAUUACACCUGCUAUAGUGCUAUAGUGUACGUACAUUAAUGCCUAUGGCCCUAUCAGCACCUUUUUGUUAGUCAUGUCUGAUGUUGGCCAUCUACUGCAACAUUUCUGUUGAUAUAUUUGGUACCACUCACAUGCACUUUAGCAAAAAACAAAACAAAAUAAAACAUGGAUAUGAUGCAUCUGAUGGAAAACAUGGCAUGUGGGCUGCAAAACAAGAAAAUUUGCCAUUUAGAAAAUAACCAUUUUUUUUACUCCACAGCCACUGAAGCAGUAAUUGCUCAAACAGCCAUACACAAGGCUUCCUUUUUCAGGUUGUAAAAAAAUAGAAUCUAAAAAACACAUAUAGCCAGACUUUUUCAGGCAUUGACCAGCAGUCUUUGCUUUUCAGACUUUUGAAGUUGACUCUCCUUUUUCUGACAUUUCUUUUUAAUCUAUCUCUGUUGCUUCUUUUACCAGACCCUUUCUUCUCCUAAUUAUCUUCUUCUUCAGCAACCUCUCUUCCUUCCACCUCUGUCAUAUAGCCAACAGAACAGCUGACACAGAGGUUAAUAGGCUUGCCAUUGAAUUAUUCUUAACUGCCCAGCUCUUGCGCUAGAUCAAAGUCUGCAGCUGUACAUCUGCCUUAUUAUCUAUCUGAUGCUGAGGUUUGCAAUUGUCUGGCCAUCUGUGUUAAAGAUAGGGCUGCUAGUUGAACCACUGAUUUACUGUUAUCUGUCAAACACUACCCCCCAGCCCUAUAACCACAGUGUAUUUGAAAAAAAAAAGUAUUUAAAAUGUUUUAAAUCAUUCACAUCCAGCUGUUUGUCAAGGAGGCUGGCAGACGGCACACGUUUGAUUGUCUCAUUUAUUGAUUUACUAUUUUGUCAGAGCCAACUGCAACCCCUCACUGAUUCUCCACUGUGCCACACUUCCAAGAGCAAAACCAAAAAGAGAUUGAGACAGGGGACAGAGCGAAAGAGAGAAUAAGAAGACAAAUAGGAUGAAGGCUGAAAAUCAGAAUGCGCAAGUGAAUACAGAGGCAGCCAGUUUGUAAGAAAUUCAGGUCAAGUUGACCCUGAGGUUAAAAGUGGCAUUCAGCAAAAGAUGCUCUAAACGUUGCUAGCACUGGGAACAUCGCUUGGCCUGUUUUUUGUCCUUUGUUUUUACUUUAAAAAUGUAACCCUAGACAUAUAUUCAUCUGUAGUUAUUGUGCUACCUGCUAAAAAUAAUUUUAAAUCCUGCUUAACUGAGACCCUCAAUUCAGUAUUUUAUACUUGUGCAAAUGUCUGAAAACAAACAUUUUCCACUGACCACAUUACGCCAUUACGCCAAGUAUUUGAAAUAUGUGAAAAUUAUAUGUGAGUCAGGUGACAAAAAAACUGGCAUGUUUUUGGUAAGCAGAUGUACUUCGGCCAUAUUUGUGAAAGAUUUUAUAACAAAUACAUAUUAGUGUUUUAGUGUUUUUUGCAAAGCUAAAUGUUCUACACAGAAAUGUAAAAUUGUCCGUUUGUAUCCACUUUUUAGGUGGUUAAAAUGCUUUGACAAUCCACUUUGUGGUCCGCAAGUGUGCAUUUGUAAAUACCGUAUGCUUAUAUUUCAAACAUACUGUACAUGCUCUGGUUUUGAAACAAUAUUUUGCUGAUAUCUACAAAAUCACAAACGUUCACAACACCAUGUAGAGCUUACAGGAAAGACCAUUUAGAAGAAGUAGUAAGAAAAUGGUCUAGUUUUUCCUUGACGAAAGAAAAUCAAAUCAAUUCCUCCGGGUGGAAAACUGGUGAAAGUGUGAACAGGGUAGCACCAGCGUUGAGCCCAACAUCCUAGAUUUUAAUCAUAAAUAGUGAUAGAUGGCAAUAAAGUUGGUGUUGAGGGACAAGAAAAACAGUAGAGAGUGAUUCCAACUCACCUCCUGUGCACAGGGCCCAUUCCUAGCUAAUUCCUAACACCUGUGCACAGAUUCAUAUGUCCUCUGUUUUAUUUUCUGGCACACUGUUUUGUGGGAAAAUAUCAAUAUAAGCUGUUGGGACUUAACAAGAACACAGAUGGCUGUAUCAUUAGAAGAGGGAAAAAAAUACAGAACAGCCAAGAUUUAAAGCUGGUUUGGGCAAGAAUGACCUUGGCCAGAGAGGAGACUUAUAACCUAAUGGUUGAUGGAAGAUAUGCAAAAAGACAUGUGAAAGACUGAGAGCAUGAGGUAAAAUUCUGUGGUUUAUUAAAUACUGAACUCCUCAGCAAAACAAAGUGCUACAGUAUGUGUGGCUGAAAUCACCAUCAAACGGCAUCCUCUCCGUGAAGCAUGGGAGCAGUAUCGUGUCAUGGUGGCAGGCUUUUCAGCUGCAGAGACAAGGGUGGUUUUAAGCUUACAGGGAGACAAUGACUGAAGUCAUGUGCAGGACACUUCUUGAGGAGAACCUGCUUAUGAAUGCAGAAGAUGUUACUCUGCAGCUAAACUCUAUGUUCUAACAGGACAAUGACCUUAGCAUCCAACCAAUUCAACACUGGACUGGCUUCUGAACAAGAAUGUUGAAGUACUUGAGUCCAAGCCCAGACUUGAAUCCCUAUGGAAAUCUAUGGAGUGAGAUGAUGAACUGUUCACGGACACUCCUCUUGCAAUUUUGACCAAGCUGGGACAAAUCUGUAAGGAAUAAUGGGAGUAUCUUAACCUGACAGAUUAAUCAAAGCUGUAUUCAUCGCAAAAAAGUCUUUACACAGCUGAGUUGUUAUUUAUUUACAAGACAUUUUAGCUUUGUAAUCAAUGUUUCUUUGUGUGAAGUGCUGUCAGAAAUCUAAACUUGAAUCCAUUUUGAACUCAAGGGUUUACUUUAUUCUUUGUGUAGGUGGUGUAAUGUAAUGUAAUGUAAUGGAUGCUUUAUUAAACUCUUACUCUAUA
Molecule: long non-coding RNA, 6071 nt
Organism: Siniperca chuatsi (mandarin fish)
Lineage: Eukaryota; Metazoa; Chordata; Actinopteri; Centrarchiformes; Sinipercidae
Exons: 2
Source: RefSeq, a predicted model, not a curated record